AGGUAAGGGCGGUGAUGGGAUGUGGGUGAUAAACAGUGGGGAAAACGGAAACAGGAAUCGGGUGGCUUGUGGGAAGGAGAGGUUUUGUUCCUCACCUUUGCAGGUAGUGUGUCCCGAGACACUGAGCUUUUUUUUACAUUCACCUGAGCUACCACCAAGUCAAGCAGAUGGGGCCUUGGUUUAACAUCUCAUCUGAAGGAGAAGUUAAUUCCCCUUUCCACAACUGAGUGAGAGGAGCCUAUCUCUACCAGUGGAUCUUCCUCUCUCUCCACCUAGCAACACUGACUACAAAUGAUAGAGGCAUGUAGGGCCAUACUGAAUGGUUGUAUCAUCUGAAGGCAAGAGUGGCUUUGGGACAUGAAUGAAAAUUCACUGCAGUAACU
Molecule: long non-coding RNA, 383 nt
Organism: Protopterus annectens (West African lungfish)
Lineage: Eukaryota; Metazoa; Chordata; Ceratodontiformes; Protopteridae
Exons: 3
Source: RefSeq, a predicted model, not a curated record